This 637-nucleotide long non-coding RNA is filed under the name Musa acuminata (dwarf banana). RNAcentral describes it as "long non-coding RNA (MACU_LNC000809)". The record is from RNAcentral. Lineage: Eukaryota; Viridiplantae; Streptophyta; Magnoliopsida; Zingiberales; Musaceae.
AAGGGCUUUCUUUAUGUGCAGAAGCCUAUCUCCAAGUUAGUCUUAAGGUUCUUGUUUCCUUUGUAAUUUUUGGAGGAUAGUAACAAGGUCAUCUUUUCUCAAAAACAAGAAGGGGUAGAAAAUGAAACUUUUGGUGGUCUGUCUUCUAUUUUUUCAUUACUCUUGUGUCGUCAUAUGCACUUCUCACUUGCGAGUCUGUCUCAUUACUGAAACAGCUUUUGGUCUUCUCCAUAAUAGUGGGAAUGAAAUAGUGGGUUUGCAUGGUCUCUCAAGAUCUUUAUUUCUUUAUAUUUCACUUUUAAUUCCUGCAUGAGAUUUUUAUUCCAUAUUACCAAGGGAAUGAGAUAGUUCACUUAAGAUAGUGGGUUUGCAUGGUCUCUUAAGAAGUGCACUCCUGCGCGGUUCUUUUAUUUCUCUGAUCUUUCUACCGCCAAAUGUUGUAAAUUCAUUUCCCUUUUUUCUCCGAUCCAUGCAUUUGCAAGUGAACCUCGUUAUACUUUCUUUGAUUCUUCCAACAGCAGCUACAGUAAAUUCAUUUCCCUUUGACUACUGUAACUUUCCAGAAGCUGUGGUCUUGAUAUUCUUUUCAAUAUCUGCAAUUGGAUAUUCUUUCUCCCUUUGACUACUAUAAUUUUCU